GAUGAACGCUAGCGACAGGCCUAACACAUGCAAGUCGAGGGGCAACAGGGAACAAGCUUGCUUGUUCUACUGGCGACCGGCGCACGGGUGAGUAACACGUAUGCAACCUGCCCGUCACAGGGGGAUAACCGGGGGAAACCCCGCCUAAUACCCCAUAUUAUAUAGUUAUUGCAUGAUGAUUAUAUGAAAACCUUGGUGGUGACGGAUGGGCAUGCGGUGCAUUAGCUAGUUGGUGAGGUAACGGCUCACCAAGGCGACGAUGCAUAGGGGUUCUGAGAGGAAGGUCCCCCACACUGGUACUGAGACACGGACCAG
Molecule: ribosomal RNA, 315 nt
Filed under: uncultured bacterium
Lineage: Bacteria
Description: bacterial SSU rRNA
Rfam family: Bacterial small subunit ribosomal RNA
Source: RNAcentral